Molecule: long non-coding RNA, 509 nt
Filed under: Dromaius novaehollandiae (emu)
Lineage: Eukaryota; Metazoa; Chordata; Aves; Casuariiformes; Dromaiidae
Description: lncRNA (ENSDNVG00000017519.1)
Source: RNAcentral
CACGUAAUCCAGACCGCAGAGAAAGGGCCGACUCUGUUCAGAGCAAGACUUGGGGCCAAGCGUCUGCUGCUGCUCUAGGCUGGACCUGCAGCGCACCGAUGUCAGAGGAGGUCGAUCGUGGAUUUCAGUGACUUCUGCCCAACUUCAGCACCGCAGUGAAGUACUCCUGUAGACAGUGUCAAUGCCGAUGGCAGGAUGAACUUAAAGGCAGCCGGGGCCGACAGACCAAUCACUGCUCUUAAGAAGAUCCCUGAAAGAGUUUCUCUUAACACAGAAGAUUCUGGAUUACUUGGUAGCCUGUAAGGCAAGACAGGUUUGGGAAAGUCAGAUCUCUGCUGAGAAAAGUCAAGCAUUUUGCCACUGGAGGAUUUUCAUCUCAGACUUUGGUUCUUAAGACCCUUCUGCGAAAGGCUUUCUGUCAGUGGGCACUCAGCCUCACGCAGGAUAUUGAGUCACCACCACCUGGCAGAGGACAAGCUUUGGAAGCAGUUUCCAUGCAACAACAGUUA